Molecule: ribosomal RNA, 392 nt
Filed under: uncultured bacterium
Lineage: Bacteria
Description: bacterial SSU rRNA
Rfam family: Bacterial small subunit ribosomal RNA
Source: RNAcentral
GAUGAACGCUAGCGGCAGGCUUAAUACAUGCAAGUCAAGGGGGUAGCAAUACAACCGGCGCACGGGUGAGUAACGCGUACACAACAUACCAUAUACUGGAGUAUAGCUUCGGGAAACUGAAGGUAAUCCUCCAUAACAUUGCGAGAAGGCAUCUAAUUGCAAUUAAAGUUUCGACGGUAUAUGAUUGGUGUGCGUUUGAUUAGCUAGUUGGUAGGGUAACGGCCUACCAAGGCGACGAUCAAUAGCUGGCGUGAGAGCGCGACCAGCCACACUGGAACUGAGACACGGUCCAGACUCCUACGGGAGGCAGCAGUAGGGAAUAUUGGUACAAUAGGCGGAAAGACCUCGAUCCACGCCACUGCCGCCGUGAUAGAUGAAGGACCCGUCCUGGG